UCAAAAUUAUACCCAAGUGUGGCAUAUUGUUCAUACCGAGUGUGUUAUAUUAGUUUUGAAGUGAUAAAACGCGUGAUAGCUAACUUUGUUUUAUAUAGGAUCAUUGACGGACGAGCCGGAUGCUGAUACUUUGCGAGAUCUCCUAUUGCUAUUUCUUAAUAUCCGCGAUACAACCAGUACUGUAAUCGUGACAUAAUAACAGGGAAAAUAAUGGAGCCCACCAAGGAACCAUUGGUCUAUGCAUGGGGUGGCAAUACUGGCAACCCAUACGAAGAAGAUUUAGCUUUGGUGCUGUUUGAGCGAGCAUCUUUCGGGAAAUCAGAAUUCAAACUUGCAUCAGAAAUGAAGGACGCUGGAAAAUUUGACGACGUAGUCAUAAUUUUCGAAGAACAGAAGAAUAUGUUGUUAAUCCAAACCAAACACAAACGCAACUCAGAUGAUACAAAACCAUUAUCGUUCGACAAUUUUUUUCCGAAGAAGUUCCAGUUUAAUCAAGAUUUUGCUCUUGUGAAGUACAUACAGUCAUAUUUAGAUGUUAUUCAAAAAGAUGAGUUCAAGAAGUAUAAGAAACGAUUUUUUAUCCUAACCAAUAAACCAUUAGACGUUAGCGAUGAACAGCUUAAGAAGUUGGUGAACAUCGAGAUCUGUGAACAAAGUGAAGUGAACCCAAUAAUGAAGUUAGCUAAAUCCGACAAUUGCUACAUAAGAUUCAGACCAAAAGAGGAUAACAUUGAAGAAUUACUGAAGUUGAUGAACUCUGAAAUAACUGUCAUUAGGGAUGCGAUCAUUGAACUCUUCAAACGUGGAAAAGCUUCGGACAUAUUGACGAAGUACAAAACACCAUUGCAGAAGAUCCUGGCAGAUUUAAUUAUGAAUUCAAAUAGUGAUAACUCAAACA
Ochlerotatus camptorhynchus is the source of this 898-nucleotide long non-coding RNA. RefSeq lists it as uncharacterized. Lineage: Eukaryota; Metazoa; Arthropoda; Insecta; Diptera; Culicidae. The record is from RefSeq and is a predicted model, not a curated record. The transcript is spliced from 3 exons.